Transfer RNA from Cellulomonas sp. B6, 73 nucleotides. It matches the Rfam family "tRNA". From Rfam's summary of the family: Transfer RNA (tRNA) molecules are approximately 80 nucleotides in length. The record is from Rfam. Lineage: Bacteria; Bacillati; Actinomycetota; Actinomycetes; Micrococcales; Cellulomonadaceae.
GCCGCCUUAGCUCAGUCGGCAGAGCGUCUCACUCGUAAUGAGAAGGUCAAGGGUUCGAUUCCCUUAGGCGGCU